ACACGACUACAUUAGAUACCCGGGUAGUCCCAGCCGUAAACUAUGCGCGUUAGGUGUAUCGGUGACCACGAGUUACCGAGGUGCCGAAGGGAAACCGUGAAACGUGCCGCCUGGGAAGUACGGUCGCAAGGCUGAAACUUAAAGGAAUUGGCGGGGAGCACCACAACAGGUGGAGCCUGCGGUUUAAUUGGACUCAACGCCGGGAAGCUCACCGGAUAGGACAGCAGAAUGAUUGCCGGGCUGAAGACCCUGCAUGACUAGCUG
RNAcentral lists this ribosomal RNA (264 nucleotides) under uncultured archaeon. Its description in RNAcentral is "partial 16S ribosomal RNA". It matches the Rfam family "Archaeal small subunit ribosomal RNA", at positions 717 to 982 of the family's 1478-position model. The record is from RNAcentral.